Molecule: ribosomal RNA, 461 nt
Filed under: uncultured bacterium
Lineage: Bacteria
Description: bacterial SSU rRNA
Rfam family: Bacterial small subunit ribosomal RNA
Source: RNAcentral
GACGAACGCUGGCGGCGUGCUUAAUACAUGCAAGUCAACUUGACUUUAGAUAGCAAUAUCGAAAAGUAGGGUGGCGCACGGGUGCGUAACGCGUAGGUAAUCUGCCCUGAGGUCUGACAUAACCCGUCGAAAGGCGGGCUAACAUCAGAUGAUAUAUAAUCACGACAUCGUGGAAAUAUCAAAUCUUCGGAGCCUUGGGAUGAGCCUGCGUCUGAUUUAGGUAGUUGGCGGAGUAAUAGCCCACCAAGCCUACGAUCAGUAGCUGGUCUGAGAGGAUGAUCAGCCACACUGGAACUGAGACACGGGUCCAGACUCCUACGGGAGCAGCAGUAAGGAAUAUUGCUCAAUGGGGAAACCCUGAAGCAGCAACGCCGCGUGAAGGAUGGAAAUACUUUUGUAUGUAAACUUCUGUAAGAUGGGAAAAAUAUUCUCCUCGGAGAAUUGAUUGUACCAGUCAGAGU